Molecule: unclassified non-coding RNA, 183 nt
Filed under: Mizuhopecten yessoensis (Yesso scallop)
Lineage: Eukaryota; Metazoa; Mollusca; Bivalvia; Pectinida; Pectinidae
Description: uncharacterized LOC110441417, transcript variant X3
Source: RNAcentral
UGCGAGCCAUUGAAAGUCCUGCUCACCAUUAACACUACACCAUGGGCCAUGACUAUACAGGGAAAUGAGGUUUGGAUUGGAGAUGAGAAAGGAAAAGUACAGAUCUUCAGGUAUUCUUACUAAAAGAGUUUUGUGUGAUGACACUGAUGGCAAUCUUUGUCCCCUGUUCAGAGGACAGAUGAU